RNAcentral lists this ribosomal RNA (482 nucleotides) under uncultured bacterium. RNAcentral describes it as "partial 16S ribosomal RNA". It matches the Rfam family "Bacterial small subunit ribosomal RNA", at positions 30 to 507 of the family's 1533-position model. The record is from RNAcentral.
AUUGAACGCUGGCGGCAUGCCUUACACAUGCAAGUCGAACGGUAACGGGCCUUCGGGCGCCGACGAGUGGCGAACGGGUGAGUAAUACAUCGGAACGUGCCCGAUCGUGGGGGAUAACGAGGCGAAAGCUUUGCUAAUACCGCAUACGAUCUACGGAUGAAAGCAGGGGACCGCAAGGCCUUGCGCGGACGGAGCGGCCGAUGGCAGAUUAGGUAGUUGGUGGGAUAAAAGCUUACCAAGCCGACGAUCUGUAGCUGGUCUGAGAGGAUGAUCAGCCACACUGGGACUGAGACACGGCCCAGACUCCUACGGGAGGCAGCAGUGGGGAAUUUUGGACAAUGGGCGCAAGCCUGAUCCAGCCAUGCCGCGUGCAGGACGAAGGCCUUCGGGUUGUAAACUGCUUUUGUACGGAACGAAAAGCCUUCUUUUAAUACAGGAGGGUCAUGACGGUACCGUAAGAAUAAGCACCGGCUAACUACGUG